RNAcentral lists this long non-coding RNA (9403 nucleotides) under Homo sapiens (human). RNAcentral's name for it is "HSALNT0061188". Lineage: Eukaryota; Metazoa; Chordata; Mammalia; Primates; Hominidae. The record is from RNAcentral.
AGUGGACUUGAGGCUGUCGGGAAGGAGGGGUGUGGCCUAGACCACUAAGGGCCGUGACGUGGUGCCGCUGAGCUUGGACCCCGACCAGAAGAUAGAGAUUGAAACGAUGAGGAAAACGAAGUGCCUAAUCCCCGCUGGACGCUAACUGCAGGGCAAGCUCCCCAGUGUUGUAGUUGUGUUUCGGAGGCCGAGAACCGCUAUCGGGCUUCCUCGGACUCUGGCCCUGGAGGGGGGAAACGGCGAGGGAGAAGGCGAAACGAGUCUCCAGUGUGUUCUUGGGGCCUGGUGCGAGGCCCAGAGAAUUCUCUGCAGGCCUUUGCCCGGGCACUGAUUAAGGCUGCGAAGAGACGCACCGGGCUGCGGGCUUAGUAGCUUCAGGCUUCUGAAGUCAGAGGGAGGGCUGAGAGCUUACACUUCUGGAGCUCCCCGGGAGACGGCAACUACCCAACCGUGUGGGUGUGUUUGUCACCCAGAAAUACUCUCCACACCAUGCUGCACUGCUGCGGAUGAGGGAAGGAUGGUGUCGGGGCUUCAAGACUGUUUUUCCUACCUCUUCAGUGCCUCUUUCAGUGAUAUGAAGUUAAAACCAGGAACAUGGAGGAGACAUAUUUCCACCUAUUUCUCUCCAUAAGUAUAAAAGACCAUAAAAGACCAUCUAGGGACUUCAGAACCCAAAUAAUGACACAAUGUUAAUUUGCAGGUUCUCCCUCUGCCUGCCACCCCACCCAGCAAGGAGGAGAGGAAGUGUUGAGAAGGGAAGAGAUGAGUCCUGGCCCUGUCACUUCUUAGGGGUGUGCUUUUGAACAACCUGCUCACCAUGUAUGAACUUCACUCUUCUUGUUUAUAAAAUGAGGACAAUGACACCUGCAAGACUGUGAGGUUUAAAAACAAAAUCUGUGUUGAGAGGUAACUUGCCUCUUUUACUUACCAAUGAUUUCCUCAAUGCCUGGUGACUGGGGCUGGUUCAUACUAGACGAUCAAUAAAUGCUCCUUGAAUGAAUAGGUGGAUGAAAGAAAUGUCUGGCAUCUAUCACAGGUGCUGGCACUGAUAAGUGCUUGAUAAAUAGGCUGGCUGACUGUGAGUGAUGCUGACGGGCAAAGGACAGAGACACCAGGAAGGAGAACAGGACACGAAAGAUAACUGUCUCAGCCCUUGGGGAGUUUCUGACCCAGGAGGAUGGGAACAUCAAUUAUCAAUAGUUACAGAUCAUUAAAUAAUUGCAAGUGUGAGGCGCACUAUAAAGAGGAGGCUCAGAGUCCCCGCAUGCUCACACUCACACCUGGCCACAGACAGGUGACACCCCUGGCUUGCCCAGGCCAGCGGGUCUGCAAUGAGGCCAAGGACCUGGGCUCUUGAGAAGUUUUAAGUUUGAAAACAUUGCUUUUUAAGCUUAAAACAAUGAACCUUAAUAAAAGUAAACACUUCCAUUGAGCUUUGAAACACUUAAUAGGAGUUAAAAGUAAUUAGGCUAAUAAAAUAGUCUUUUGUUCCAAUUCAAUAAGUGCUUUCUUUUAUUAACUUCAUUGUCCUUUAAGAUUGGGAUUAAGGUUUGUCUGCAUUUGGAAAAGGUCACAUUUGCCCAAAGACUGAUGGGUGAUAACAGUAAGGCAGCCCCCUGCACAGGGAGAGGCCAGUAAGAGCCUGGGCUCCAUGAAACUGCAUUUCAACUCCAACCCUGAUGUCCUGCCUGUCUCCUGGGCAUGUUUAUCUUACACUGCUAAGCAUCAGUCUCAUUUGUACAGUGAGAAUAAUAUCACUGUGUAAGGUUGUAUUGAGAAUUAAGAGAGCUCACGUAUGCCUGUAAAGUACCUGGCAUACCGCAGGGUACAAGGAGGGCGUUGUUAGCUGUGAUGGCCCCUUUCCUUCUUCCCUUUACUUCAGAGGUGACCUCUCCAAAUCACAUUUAGUCCUUAAACCUCAGGUCAGGCGAUAGUGCUGAUGGGCAACCCUCCCACCCAGGUUUGGCUGCAAGUCACUCCUCUGGGCUCCUCUGGGCUCCUACAGCCUCCCGCAUGGUCCCUCUCAUGCAUCCUUGUGAUGGUCUGACCAGGAGCUUCUUGAGGACAGGGGUUGGGGCCACUUGCCUGCGUGCUUCUCCAUGCCCAUUUGCUAUCAGAUGCCUUCCCCUUUCUGCUCUGCACUGCGGGGAACUACAUUUUCCAGGCUCCCUGGGCAGUGGCAGGCUUCCGGCUAGUUUCUACCAAGGGGAGCGCUGAUGGGAGAUGAAAAAGUGGGAAAAAAGGAGAAGCCAGGAUGCUUCUCUGUCUCGUCUUCCUUUUUCUCUUUCAGGGGUUUUUGGUAGUGGCUGUGUCUCCCUGAUAGCUCCUCUCUAUGAUCCAGCCCUGCUUGGCAGCCCUGGCUUCUGGGUUCUGAAAACACCACGUUCCUCCUUGUGUCCCUCUAUCUAGUAAUUGGCAGCUUUCUGAUGUUGCUAAGUUCUGACUUGCUUCACCAUCUCCUAUUUGGCUCCUCAGCUUUUCCAUCUUCUGUGUAACCUGUUCCCCGUACUAAAUUUCCUCUGUGUGAAAUGCCUAGCAUGGUUUCUGUUUCCGUGGUGGGACUCAGACGGAUACAUUCUGUGUCCCUAAGCCUCUGACACAGCACCUGACCCAUGAUAGGAUCUCAGGAAGCUCUUUUUUGGCUGAGUACAUUUCCCAUUGUAAUAUUCCCCAAAGGUGGGAUUUUGUUCAUCUUUUUACAGGCUUUCCUCUGGCCCUCCCUUGCUUUCUGUAGCUUUAGCAGGCCAGAAGCAUGAGGAGCAAUUAAAGUGAGCACCAGCCCCAGAAAAGUAGUGAUCAAAUGUUUAAAGUUCUUGAAAAUUCUGUCUAGUUCAUUUCUAUUUCAUUUUCUUAAGCCCCAGAUUCUAAUUGUAUCUGUCUACACAACAAGUGUAAUCAGGGAGCCAAAAUUAAAUUUCCCCAAUCCCUGCCCUUCUAAUCAAUCACAAAUCACGAAUGAAAAGAGCAGAUUCAAGUGGAAGAAUCAGCUCCAGGAGGCCAGUCUUUCCAUUAGCUCUGUUAGGCUCUCCACAGAGGUGGGACCUAUCUCUCCCCACCCACUCCGCCCCAGCAGGGGAAAAUGCAAACAAGUCACUUUUGAUGACCACCUGUCUGCAGUGGUAUUGGUCUCAAAGGAGACCUAAAGUGAAUGCCAAUUUCAGAAAAAUAAAGUUUGGGGAUAUGGUUUGGAUGUUUGUCCCCACCACCCCCACCCCACCAAUUUCAUGUUGAAGUGUGAUUCCCAAUGUUGGAUGUAGGUUCUGGUGGGAGGUGAUUGGAUCAUGGUGAUGGAUUCAUUAUGAAUGGUUUAGUGCCAUCCCCUUGGUGAUAAUGAGUUCUCACUUGGUUAGUUUUUGUGAGAUCUGGUUGUUUAAAAGAGCCCAGAACCUCCACCUGACUGUUUCUUGCUCUCUUUCUUGCCAUGUGACAUCACUGGCUCCCCCUUUGCCUUGUGCAAUGAUUAUAACCUUCCUGAGGCCCUUAUUGGAGGUAGAUGCCAGAGCCAUACUCGUACAGCCUGCACAACUGUGAGUCAAUUAAACCUCUUUUCUUUAUAAAUUACCCAGUCCCAGGUACUUAUAGCAAUGCAAAAACUAUCUAACACUCCUGGUUUCAAAUGAUUGGGAAGAAAUGGGAUUAGAGGUCUCUGAAGAUGCCAGGGCUCUGGAGAUUGCUGGGGGAAGGAUAGCCCUGUCCCUGUCAGGGGCCGCCUCCUGUGUGGAGGGCCUUAGGGCUCUGGAGAGAGAACCCCUGUGUUCAAAUUCUGCCUCUGCUACUUACCAAAUAUGGGACUUUGAGUAUUUCACCUGGUCUGAAUGGGCACCUACAUCCUAGUCCUGGAAACAGCUCAAAUAGGGACAGAGGAGGUGCUUAACAAAGGAUUAAGCCUACAACCUGGAUCUAUUCCUUGCCUUGAAGACCAGUUGAGGGCCCAGGAUGAGCCUCCUGUGGGUGCACUAGCUCUGCUUUAAUUGCCUAGUUCUAAAAUGAAUCUUCCUUUGCAUUGGAGAAAAAAACAACAGAGGCUACAGAAAGCCCCUGGGGUCUGUCUCAGCUGCUAUUGCUCUGACUGUGGUCUGUGAACCCUGGGUAGGCAAGACAUAGCUCCCACCUGUUCCUCUUUUCAUCUCUUGCUGGUGAGGAGCAGGUGUUCUUUCCAAGCUUCUCCUAUCUCUCUCCCCUCUUCUUACUUGUUCCAGUCUUUCUCCCUCCUCUUCCCUCUCCUCUUCUUUCUUCUUCCUUUGCCUUAUCCUCUUCCCUGCUUUCCUCUCUCCCAUUCUUUCCCCCUCCUCUGCUCUUUUCUCCUCUCUCUUUCUCUCCUCUCCCUUCCUCUUCCCUCUGCCUUCCUCUUCACUUCCCUUUCCUCCUACCCUUUCCCCUCCUUUCCCAUCUUCUCUCCUCCUCUACCCCCUCAUCCCUUCCUCUUCACCUCUCCCCUCUGUUUCCCUUCCUCUCCCUGCAACAUUCUCUCCUCUCCUCCUUCCUCCUUUCUCUUCUUCCUCAUUCUCCCCUCCUGUCCCUUCUGUAGCUCCCCUUAUCCCUUGUGGCAUCAGCAUCUCCCAGCCUCAAAACUGGCAGUCACUGUUUCAUCAGCUCUGGCCCCAGCCAAAACCUCCCUCCCUUCUCAGCCAGCAGCAGCUGCUGGACUCUUGAAGGGGGUAACAAUUAGUCAUUGGAGGGUGGCAGUGGUUGAGGGAGACAGAGCGUGCCAGCCUUUGCAGUCAUUGCUCUGUCACCUCAUGUACAACAGGCUUAACUCAACACGUGAUCUUCCCUUUGGCACCCCCCUCUCCCUCUGCCACUGCUGAGCUGUGUUGUGUGUAUUUGUCCUCCCUCGUCCCCACACCCACAACCAUCUUUAUGCCCUCACCUCCUCUGUGAGCUUUAUGCAGCCCUGCCUAGUGUGGCAGCUCCUUAAAGCACCUCUCUUGUUCUUCCCUUCCUUCCUGUGACCACUCCCUAUCCCUAAUAUGGGUCCCUCACUGCUUCUCCCCUGAAAUACUUGAUCCUGGGUUCCUCUCCCCACCUUCAUCUGUCCUGUCAACAAUGACUGGAGUGCAUUCCUGGUUCAUGUCCUCCUAGGGAUGAAAAAGAGUGACAUCUUUCCUCCCCACCACACUCCUAGAACAAAAGAUAGGUUAACAAGAGAAAAGCAUAACACAUUUAUUUAAUCAAGCUUUUAUGUGAUAUGGGAGACUUCAAAAAUGAAGACCCCAAGACCCAGGGGAAACUGUUUUUAUGCUUAGGUUUGAUGAAGAGUGGACAGCCAUGUACUCUUUUUGUAUUGGACAAAAGGGGUAUAAUCCAGUAGUAAUAGACUGAAUGGGAAAACCCAGCAAGGCCUGUCUGUUCAGAUUCUUCUUGGCCUCUCUGUUGUAGCAUUUCUUCCUUCUGGGUAUGAUGCAGGACCCCUCUGCAAUGAGGGCCUUAGGAUCUAAUAUCAGAUAAGGGUAGGUCAGAGAAUUUCUUUUUGGCCACCUCCUAGACAGAAGGGGAUGGGGAGGUCAGAGUAGUAUUUCCAGGGUUCAUGGCUUACUUUGGGGGAGAGGGGUUCCAGUUUUUAUGACCCACCUAGGGUACAAGGAAUUAUGUUUCUAUGACUUGCUUUGAGGGAGAAAUGAGGGGUGAGAGAUAGGAAGCAGGAAGUCAAAGAGACCAUGGUUCUGAGGUUGCUUCUGAGGUCUUCCAAUGUCCUUUAGUUCAAAGUACUCAGCACACCAAAGUGCUAUACUUUGGGGUAUCAUUUUCUGAGCUGCAGAAUCCCAGAUACAUCACUCUCCUCAGAAGCUCUGGCUCUCCUGGUGCACUGACUGAGACCAAACAAGUGUUCAUGACCUACCCAAGCCUGAGAGAACAGCCCUCCAGAUCCUGGUCCUCCUGCCUUCCACCAUGGGCAAGAACCCCCACCCCACCUCUCCCCAACCCUCCUUGCCUUUUUCUGCUUCCCGCCUUUGCUUGUGCUGGUUCCUUCUCCACCUGUUCCCAUCACCCAUACCCUGUUCCCAUCACCCACUGCCAUUAUCCAGGGCCUAAACAUCUCCCCCAUUAUGAAGCUGCUCUAGAGAGGGUGACGUCGCUUCUCUUAUAGGACUCGUUGGACACAGUCAGGGGCCCUAAUACUGCAUCAGCAGAAAGAUGUGUGAGUGGUUCACAUGACCUUUGACCACUGACUUUACUCACCUAUGGAGGUGGACUUGGGCUUUUGCUUGAGAAUGUGGGUGUGCAUAUGUGGGAAAAUAUGUUUAAAAUGAUCAUGCUUUGGAUGAACGAGGCUGGGUUUACCAGUGUAUUUGCUAAGCACUUGCAGAGGACUCGACUGGGGAGCUUGAAAUAAUACAUAUUCCAGGGCCCUGUCCCUGACCUCAGAACCAGAUUAGAGGAGCAGGGGAGGUGGCAGUAAUCUGUGUUUUUAAUAAGUCCUUCUGUUUGAUCUUCACAUUUGGAAAUGACUACAGUAAGUGAUCUCAGUAUUAAAACUCUUAGAAAGCAAAGAGUUUUCAUGAAGGAAAUAAUCACCUCAUUAUAUAUGUAUUACAAUGGAUAAAUAUAUGGGAUUGGGGAGGAGAAUCUGUAUAUAGGGAGAGAAUUGACUGUUGUUUCAGGCACUGUACCACAGGGUCUUAUUCAUUCCUUACUACUUCCCAUGCAGCAGGUUCUAUAAUCCUUACUUUACAGAUGAGAAAGGGGAGGCUCAGAGAGGGGAAGUAACUGCUGCAUAGUCACACAGCUGGAGAGUGACAAGGUCCAUGUUCAAACCAAGGGCUGAUGCCAAAGUCCAAGCUUGAACCACACUGCAAUGCUGCCCAUUUGUGAGCCUGAAUUUUUUUUUUAACUUUCAAGGACAGGUUUUCUUUAACUUUCAAGAACAGGCCCCACUGGUUAAUGGCUAACCCCAAUGUCUCUCAUGAUACUCCCUGGAGGUAGGGUUCUGAGGUUCCAAGAGUGCUUCCCACUGGCCUGCCCUGUCCUCAGUAUAAGCCCUAGAUGGGUCUUAAAAUUUAAUCUUUUCUACUGUAUUCCCGACUAGGCUUGUUGGUGCUGGAGUGAAGCAUUCCUGCCAUGGUUUGGUUCUGAAACAGGCUGAGGGAACAGAAAUAUGAGAGAGGCAACUUGACUUAUCCCAUCCACAAGGCCCAUAGCAUGAUGGCUUGAUCAAAGGGCUUGAGCCAAGGCUGGCCCUGGGCCACAUGGCUGGAUUGCAGCCUUUCUAUCCAUCCCCCUAAUCCCAUUUAGGAUGUUCAGGAUCAAUGAAAAGAUCUGAUCAUUCAAAUCAUACCAAAGUGUGCUAACACCAUGUGCUACCCCUCUGGGGAUAAACCUGCUUUACAAAGAGAAUGCUUGCCUAAUGGUGGGACAGAAGGAUGAAGGACAUGCCUUUUACCUGUGGGACCCCAUGAAUUUAGGACCCCGUGAAUGAUCCAUCACAAAUCCGUCUGCAUUAACCACUCUGUCCUUCCAGGUGCACUAUUCCAUCUGCGUAUCCAGCAGCAAAAUACAAUUCUGCUCAGAAUAAUGAACCUAAUGUUCUGAAGGCACCAGAAGGUUGUGGAAGUAUUGACCUAUCUCUAGUUAGCAUCUGCUCACCAGGACCCCUGAGACUGUGGAGGGGGUAACUCAGCAGAAGGACCAGGGCUAACAGGGACUGAAUCCUUACCACAUACCAGGGCCCGUUCCAAACACUUUGCAUGUUUUAAAUUGCUUAAUCCUCACAAUGACCCAGUGGAGGAGAUGAUAGUUUUGUCUCUUCUUCAUAUUAUGAUAGAGGAAAAUGAGGACAGAGAGGCCAAAUGACAGGCCCAUGGUCAACCAGCUAAGAAGUGAAGGGGCAGGACUUGAAUUCAGGCCUCCUGGCCCCAGAGUUUGCAGCACCUGGCAUGUGGCAGUAGUUGAGAAGUUACACUGAGUCUGAGUAGACCUGUAGUUAGUGACCCCCUCCACAGCACAGGGCUGAUGGACAGUGGGCUGGCUUGGGCCAAGAGCAGCUGGCACUGCAGAUCUGUUGGAAUAGCUCUGCCCAGGCUGCCCAGGGCAAGUUGCAGACUGGGAGGCAUAUGUAUCCUAAAAUAGAACUUUUGAGAAAUAAUGUGCAUCCAAAGGAAUGAGUCUCAGACGAGGAUGUUCAAGAAUCAGUAGCAGAUGCUGUGCGGGCCACAGAAUGUUUCUAGGUAAAAUGCCCUCCUCCCCACCCCCCAUGUCCCCCACAACCAACAAACAAGCUAAGAAAAAAGAAACAAAAUAAAAUAAAUUGAAACAAAUUAAUAAACAUGCAAAAACCACACAGACAGUCAUCUCUUCUGUCUGUGGGUAAAACUGACAGCUCUAGAAAUAAACGGAGAUCCAUAUAAAGGGUUUCAAAAUAUGGGAGUAAUUUUUGUUUUUCCAUUUAAUGCUAGGUUUCAAAGGAGGGGAAUAUGUCUAUCACUGCUACAUAGGCAUUCUGUUUAAAACCCACCCAGAUGCCUUAAUGGGGCUCUGUCAAGAGUGGGAAGGUCCCCACAGCUGUUUCUCAAAGCCAGUAGACCACUCAGUGUGGGCAGUGGGGAGCUUGUGCUUGGCAGGCCUCCCACGUCGCCAUCAUUUCUUUUUGAACACUUGACGGCACACCUGGUCACCACAGGUCAGCUCCUGCAACGUCAGAAAGUGGGUGAGGGUCUAACAAGCCAGGCCUUUCUUCUGCCCAGCCCUCAGCCCCCUUGGUAUCUGGGGGUGGGAGGUUGGAAUAAAGAGGACACUUAGGUAUUCUGGGCAAAGUGCAUCUCACAGACCCAAUCAGCGGGCAUGCCCUGCAGGUAGCAGUAAUUUGAUUUUGACACUUGAAUUGAGCUUGAACAACUAUAAAAAUGAAAAAUGCAAAGAAAUGACCCUCUUGGGCAGGAUUUCUCCUACUCCCAUGAUUAAAGUAACAUGACCUAAUUUAUAAAAGGCAGCGAAGCCAUGAGGAAGGAAAGGACCUAGUGUAGAGAAGUGUUUGGAAGGUAGGGGCCUGAAAAGAUGCUGGCCAGUGAGCUGCCCCUCCACCCUGUGGGCUUUCUGGCCUCUGGUGAUUAGAACAUUGGCUGGUGGUGGCGCAGGUACCCGCAGGGUGUGAGGUGCAGAAGGGCUUUCCCAGGCUUGCCUGUGCAGCCGACAAGGUCCCGCUUUUCAUCCAGAUAGAGGGAGCCCAGGCCUUAUUUGACCCUCACUGAUCCUCGAAGGAGGAGGGAAAAACAUGAGUGUGGGAAGGACCACCACAAUCAUUGCAGUUGACUGUGAAUCCAUUGUCUAAGCCACAGAGAGCACUGGGGAUUGUAUUACAAUUAGAAAAAUCCACCAUCCAAACCAGUGCAGGUAGGGAAAGCCAUCAAUGCAAAACACGAUAAAUGCCUCCCAUAUAUCAUUAGCUGACAUUGCCUUCAAAAUAAAG